GGGGAUGUAGCUCAGUGGUAGAGCGCAUGCUUUGCAUGCAUGAGGUCCCCGGUUCGAUCCCCGGCAUCUCCA
This 72-nucleotide transfer RNA is filed under the name Macaca mulatta (Rhesus monkey). RNAcentral's name for it is "tRNA-Ala (TGC) (tRNA-Ala-TGC-8-1)". It matches the Rfam family "tRNA". Rfam says of the family: Transfer RNA (tRNA) molecules are approximately 80 nucleotides in length. Their secondary structure includes four short double-helical elements and three loops (D, anti-codon, and T loops). Lineage: Eukaryota; Metazoa; Chordata; Mammalia; Primates; Cercopithecidae. The record is from Rfam by way of RNAcentral.